GAUGAAGGAACGUAGCGAAAUGCGAUAAGUAAUGUGAAUUGCAGAAUUCAGUGAAUCAUCGAAUCUUUGAACGCACAUUGCGCCCCUUGGUAUUCCGAGGGGCAUGCCUGUUCGAGCGUCAUUAUAACCCCUCAAGCUCAGCUUGGUGUUGGGGCCUGCUGCACUGGCAGCCCUUAAAAUCAGUGGCGGCGCCAUCUGGCUCUAAGCGUAGUAAUUCUUCUCGCUAUGGAGUCCUGGUGGAUGCUUGCCAUCAACCCCCAAUUUUUCUAUGGUUGACCUCGGAUCAGGUAGGGAUACCCGCUGAACUUAAGCAUAUCAAUAAGCGGAGGA
This 330-nucleotide unclassified non-coding RNA is filed under the name soil metagenome. RNAcentral describes it as "partial contains 5.8S ribosomal RNA, internal transcribed spacer 2, and large subunit ribosomal RNA". The stretch from base 1 to 121 matches the Rfam family "5.8S ribosomal RNA", at positions 35 to 154 of the family's 154-position model. The record is from RNAcentral.